RNAcentral lists this ribosomal RNA (274 nucleotides) under uncultured bacterium. Its description in RNAcentral is "partial 16S ribosomal RNA". It matches the Rfam family "Bacterial small subunit ribosomal RNA", at positions 523 to 796 of the family's 1533-position model. The record is from RNAcentral.
AUACAGAGGGUGCAAGCGUUAUUCGGAAUUACUGGGCGUAAAGCGCGCGUAGGCGGAUGAUUAAGUCAGUUGUGAAAGCCCUGGGCUCAACCUAGGAACUGCAUCUGAUACUGGUCGUCUAGAGUUUAAGAGAGGGAAGUGGAAUUCCAGGUGUAGCAGUGAAAUGCGUAGAUAUCUGGAGGAACAUCAGUGGCGAAGGCGACUUCCUGGCUUAAAACUGACGCUGAGGUGCGAAAGCGUGGGUAGCGAACGGGAUUAGAAACCCUUGUAGUCC